Molecule: non-coding RNA, 161 nt
Filed under: uncultured Eubacterium sp.
Lineage: Bacteria; Bacillati; Bacillota; Clostridia; Eubacteriales; Eubacteriaceae
Source: RNAcentral
GUACGCAGGUGUCGGCGGAUUGCCGGUGAAAAGGGAAGCAGGUGUGAAUCCUGCACAAGGCCGUUGCUGUGUAGGCUUAGUUUUUCCUCGGUUGCCAUUGGGGAAACCCGAGAAGGUGAGGAAGAGCGGUGAGGCCGCAGUCAGAAGACCUGCCUGUGUAU